GCCGGGAUGGCGGAAUCGGUAGACGCGCCGGACUUAAAAUCCUGUGGACCGUAAGGUCCGUGCGGGUUCGAUUCCCGCUCCUGGUA
RNAcentral lists this transfer RNA (86 nucleotides) under Spirosoma sp. RNAcentral's name for it is "tRNA-Leu". It matches the Rfam family "tRNA". From Rfam's summary of the family: Transfer RNA (tRNA) molecules are approximately 80 nucleotides in length. Their secondary structure includes four short double-helical elements and three loops (D, anti-codon, and T loops). The record is from RNAcentral. RNAcentral also lists the same sequence under 1 other name. Lineage: Bacteria; Pseudomonadati; Bacteroidota; Cytophagia; Cytophagales; Cytophagaceae.